AAACGAAACAAAUAAGCAAACAAACAAAAGCCCCUUUGCAGUGGCAAUACCACUGCACAGCCGUGCCCCAACAAGGAUGAUAUUCUGGGAUAAAUCGGCAAAAGCCUUGGUUGUUGCCGUAGUAAUCCUAAAGCUCAACAGAAGAAAUUUCUUGAAGUGGACGGAUAAAAUUCUUAGAAUCAUCCCGCCCAAGCCCUCUAGAAUUCCUUUAUGAUGCGUUUAUCUAUUUCGGUCUUUCACAUAGGAAGAUUCCAGAGUAUCGCCCCAAUGAAUGCGCAGUGCUGUCGGCAAGGAGCACGCCGCUGCAAAAGGGAUUAGACUUGAAAACGCCUUCUGAAGGGGUUUGGGAGAGAAAGUCCCACUGAUGCUACCUGAAGUUGGGGGGAAACGUCGUCAGCCAGUUUUCAGUGUGAUGCAGAUACGAUAGCUUUUCUCCCUCUGUUGGAAAGGUCGGGGAAAGUGAAAUGACCCAGCGGGCCAGGUCAGCAUCGACCUGGCUAAAAACUUGGCCGGUGGACGUGAACUGAAGUGCCAGGAGGGCUUACGUGCAAGCCUCCUCAGCCCCAGGCUUGAGACCAGCCUCUAUUACUCAGAAGAAUUUGUGCAACUCCGUGCUUCUCUAUCUUCAAGCAUCAGCAUGUUCGACUCUUGGUUUCAAUCCAGAACCUGCCCUGUUUUUAUAGAACAAAACUCCAGCUUCGAUCUGAAAAUGAAGAUCCCAGUUUAUUUUAAGAGACAGAGCAGACGAGGGGCGGAGAGAGAGAGAGGGAGAGAGAGAAUCC
Long non-coding RNA from Felis catus (domestic cat), 782 nucleotides. RefSeq lists it as uncharacterized. The record is from RefSeq and is a predicted model, not a curated record. Lineage: Eukaryota; Metazoa; Chordata; Mammalia; Carnivora; Felidae. The transcript is spliced from 3 exons.